Parasteatoda tepidariorum (common house spider) is the source of this 1355-nucleotide non-coding RNA. The record is from RefSeq and is a predicted model, not a curated record. Lineage: Eukaryota; Metazoa; Arthropoda; Arachnida; Araneae; Theridiidae.
UUUAAAAUUGACAAAUAGAGAUUGAGUAGAUAUUAAAACUUCUAAAGAAUGAAGACGCAUUUAGGAGAGAAUUCAAUGAAUGUAAAAGAAUUAUCUAAUUUACUCUCUUACUUAAAAAGCAAGGAUGCGUUUUAUUACCAUCAUUUUAGCCUUGGUAAUAUUUUGUACUUUGCUUUCUCUGCACGCGGAAGCUGCCAACAGUGAAACAGGUUUAAUUCGCCUCAAAAGAGAAUCAGCAUGGCUUGCAGUGGGACGAACUAUGCAAGAUCUAUUGCAGAUAUUUUUGACGUUACUUGUGUACAUACCACUGACACUUCUUUUUAAUUUCGUUGAGAGACGAUUUGAUCCCGUUGGAAUUUUUGCUUUAUGAAAUAAUCAUAAAUCCAUUAUAAUGUGACUUCGAAAUAAGCGUUUUGCCAUCAUCAUAUGAGUCAUAGCAAUCACAUGCAGUUUGUAUUUAAUUUACAUCGAAGCAGCUGACAAUGAAACAAGUACAGAUCAUCCUAUAGAGGCGCCUAUAUAUGAAAGAAGUGAGGAACGUAGAAAAGAAGCUCUUCAUUCCCACACAGUUACAAUUUUUAUUGAUGCUUGGAUUAGUUCAAACGUCGAGCAGAAUUUCUUUCUCAUUUGUUUACAUCUCUGUCUUAACUUAUACAGAUUCGUUUGGAUUUUUCACGAGAGACUGUUAUGUUUUGUGAAUUUGAAAUUAAACUCCAGCAAUUAAGAAAUAUUUAUGAUGCAACCUUUGUGAUUGAUGUUGUUGUUGUUUCUAAGGACGCUUGGACAAGCUAAGAUCGCCAGCCACUGAUCUUUUGCGAAUUAAGUCAGGAAGAUAUAUAUGCCUCUUGUUUUACAAGAGAGCACCACGUGGGUGAAAGUGCGUCUUAGUUCAGGGUCCCACGAAUAGAUGGCAGCACUACUCCUUCAUGAUACCACUUCUUUCAUUUAGGGUAAUGACAUCUGAAGGGUAAUGACAUUUUCUCCAGAUUCCUGUACCUAUGAUCUCAACGGCCGACCACAGGGUUUUCAAGUUCACAGAUUUUACGAGCACGCUUAUCGCACGCACUCGGUGGGUCUUAGCGGAGUCAAAGAUGUAACCCCGGCUGUCCCGAACCGAAGUCUAAUUCUCUAACCACUGGGCUACCAAGGCUCUUUUGUGAUUGGUGUAUUUUAAAUGUGUAUAAAUUGUAUGAAAUUUUUUUUUUCAAAAUAGUUAUGCUUUAUUAACUAAAAUACUAUUUAUGUAUGCUUGGCUUUUUAUUAAACCAAAAAAAAAGCCAAAAAAAUUUCAAAUUAAAGAGGUUGAUGCUGUACAGUGAUCAGCUAGGCCAUACUUUUCAAAAGUGGCAUUUUUA